Molecule: ribosomal RNA, 425 nt
Filed under: uncultured bacterium
Lineage: Bacteria
Description: partial 16S ribosomal RNA
Rfam family: Bacterial small subunit ribosomal RNA
Source: RNAcentral
GUGGGGAAUCUUAGACAAUGGGCGCAAGCCUGAUCUAGCCAUGCCGCGUGAGCGAUGAAGGCCUUAGGGUUGUAAAGCUCUUUCGCUGGGGAAGAUAAUGACUGUACCCAGUAAAGAAGCCCCGGCUAACUCCGUGCCAGCAGCCGCGGUAAUACGGAGGGGGCUAGCGAUGUUCGGAAUUACUGGGCGUAAAGCGCGCGUAGGCGGAUUGGAAAGUUGGGGGUGAAAUCCCGGGGCUCAACCUCGGAACUGCCUGAAAAACUCCCAGUGUUGAGUUCGAGAGAGGUGAGUGGAAGUCCGAGUGUAGAGGUGAAAUUCGUAGAUAUUCGGAGGAACACCAGUGGCGAAGGCGGCUCACUGGCUCGAUACUGACGCUGAGGUGCGAAAGCGUGGGGAGCAAACAGGAUUAGAAACCCUGGUAGUCC